This 68-nucleotide transfer RNA is filed under the name Bothrogonia yunana. RNAcentral's name for it is "tRNA-Lys". The record is from RNAcentral. Lineage: Eukaryota; Metazoa; Arthropoda; Insecta; Hemiptera; Cicadellidae.
CAUUAAGUAACUUAAUUAAAGUAUUGGUCUCUUAAACCAAAUUAUAGUAUAUAAAAAUACUCUUAAUG